RNAcentral lists this long non-coding RNA (880 nucleotides) under Sinocyclocheilus anshuiensis. RNAcentral describes it as "lncRNA (ENSSANG00000035228.1)". The record is from RNAcentral. Lineage: Eukaryota; Metazoa; Chordata; Actinopteri; Cypriniformes; Cyprinidae.
GCAGUUCACCUUUCCCAGAGUAAACCACUGCAGUCAGCUGUACCUACACAGGUGGAUAGAGGUACGACUGUGAAGUUCUUUAUAAUGGAGUCUCACCAACAAGACAGUUCUACAAUGACAACAACCAGAGGAGACUGUAAAGCUGCAGAGAUAAAACAACACAAGUCUAGUCCAGCAGAAAGAUGCUCUGGGAAUUCUUCCAUAAGUCCUUCAGAACAGCAACCCAUCCUCUCUAAAGUGAUUGAGAUUUCUAAGUCUUCUCCACUGAAGCCCAGUGUUAAAUAUAUUGAAGUGAUAUCCAAUAUACAAACACUUCCUAAGCAGUCAGAACAGAGAAGAGAAGAUAUGAUCUCUAAAUCAUCUCCAUUAUCCAACUGUUUGAGAGGCAGAAAGAGAAAUAAUUCUGUAGUUCUCUCUCAUGAAGACCUGAACCCUUUGUCGUCUUUUCUGACAUUAAGAACAAAGUUGCAGAAAAAAUGUCCAAUGCAAAAACCUCAGCGGAGCAGUCCAACAUCUGCAGAGGUAAAUGUGAGUCAGAAUUCUACAGGAAAAGCCUUGCUAGAGAACAGAAUAAAAACAGCGAAUCACAUCUCAGAAACACAAAGCAGUGUCAUUGCUGCUGAGACGAGCUUUCCCCGUGAAGAGAAACAAGAGGCCAUCAGCAAGACUGUAUACGUCCACGCCACAGAGUGUCAAAGAGAUGCAUAUAGGGAGCUGCAGGCGUUGGCUCUGCCCUCUCUGAGUAAAAUGCAGGAGCUGGGCAUCUCUGCUUUGAACAACAGAGACUUUGGUACUCUGUCUUCUGAACUCACAAGAUUCCUCGUAAAGCAGCAAGAGAGAAUGCUUCGGACAGAACAGAGUCAGAGGAGACACCUUCUCA